UAGGGAAUCUUCCGCAAUGGGCGAAAGCCUGACGGAGCAACGCCGCGUGAGUGAUGAAGGUCUUCGGAUCGUAAAACUCUGUUAUUAGGGAAGAACAAAUGUGUAAGUAACUAUGCACGUCUUGACGGUACCUAAUCAGAAAGCCACGGCUAACUACGUGCCAGCAGCCGCGGUAAUACGUAGGUGGCAAGCGUUAUCCGGAAUUAUUGGGCGUAAAGCGCGCGUAGGCGGUUUUUUAAGUCUAAUGUGAAAGCCCACGGCUCAACCGUGGAGGGUCAUUAGAAAAUGGAAAACUUGGGUGCAGAAGGGGAAAGUGGAAUUCCAUGUGUGGGGGUGAAAUGCGCAGAGAUAUGGAGGAACACCAGUGGCGAAGGCGACUUUCUGGUCUGAAACUGACGCAGAUGUGCGAAAGCGUGGGGAUCAAACAGG
RNAcentral lists this ribosomal RNA (429 nucleotides) under Actinomycetes bacterium. Its description in RNAcentral is "Actinobacteria bacterium partial 16S ribosomal RNA". It matches the Rfam family "Bacterial small subunit ribosomal RNA", at positions 355 to 776 of the family's 1533-position model. The record is from RNAcentral. Lineage: Bacteria; Bacillati; Actinomycetota; Actinomycetes.